RNAcentral lists this ribosomal RNA (483 nucleotides) under uncultured bacterium. RNAcentral describes it as "bacterial SSU rRNA". It matches the Rfam family "Bacterial small subunit ribosomal RNA", at positions 30 to 509 of the family's 1533-position model. The record is from RNAcentral.
AUUGAACGCUGGCGGCAUGCCUUACACAUGCAAGUCGAACGGUAACAGGUCUUCGGAUGCUGACGAGUGGCGAACGGGUGAGUAAUACAUCGGAACGUGCCCGAUCGUGGGGGAUAACGCAGCGAAAGCUGUGCUAAUACCGCAUACGAUCUACGGAUGAAAGCGGGGGAUCGCAAGACCUCGCGCGGACGGAGCGGCCGAUGGCAGAUUAGGUAGUUGGUGGGAUAAAAGCUUACCAAGCCGACGAUCUGUAGCUGGUCUGAGAGGACGACCAGCCACACUGGGACUGAGACACGGCCCAGACUCCUACGGGAGGCAGCAGUGGGGAAUUUUGGACAAUGGGCGCAAGCCUGAUCCAGCCAUGCCGCGUGCAGGAUGAAGGCCUUCGGGUUGUAAACUAGCUUUUCCUACGGGAGAGAACUUAACGCACGUGUUGCGUGACUGACGGUACCCUCGGGAAUAAGCAUCGGCUAACUCCGUGCC